GUGCUCAUUUCAGCAGCACAUAUACUGUAAUUGGAACAAUACAGGGAAGAUUAGCAUGGCCCCUGAGCAAGCAUAACAUGAAAAAUAUAUAUAUAUAUAUAUAUCAU
Rhinolophus ferrumequinum (greater horseshoe bat) is the source of this 107-nucleotide small nuclear RNA. The record is from Ensembl. Lineage: Eukaryota; Metazoa; Chordata; Mammalia; Chiroptera; Rhinolophidae.